UCUACGGGAGGCAGCAGUGGGGAAUAUUGCGCAAUGGGCGAAAGCCUGACGCAGCGACGCCGCGUGAGGGAUGAAGGUCUUCGGAUCGUAAACCUCAGUCAGCAGGGAAGAACGGUCACUGUGCUAAUCAGCAGUGAAUUGACGGUACCUGCAAAGGAAGCACCGGCUAACUCCGUGCCAGCAGCCGCGGUAAUACGGAGGGUGCGAGCGUUAAUCGGAAUUACUGGGCGUAAAGCGCUCGUAGGCGGUAUGUCAAGUCAAGGGUGAAAUCCCCGCGCUCAACGUGGGAACUGCCUUUGAAACUGGCAAACUGGAGUGUGUGAGAGGAUAGUGGAAUUCCAGGUGUAGGAGUGAAAUCCGUAGAUAUCUGGAGGAACAUCAGUGGCGAAGGCGACGAUCUGGCACAUAACUGACGCUGAGGAGCGAAAGCGUGGGUAGCAAACAGGAUUAGAUACCCCUGUAGU
This 464-nucleotide ribosomal RNA is filed under the name uncultured bacterium. Its description in RNAcentral is "partial 16S ribosomal RNA". It matches the Rfam family "Bacterial small subunit ribosomal RNA", at positions 338 to 794 of the family's 1533-position model. The record is from RNAcentral.